GGCCAGGGAAAAGGACACGGAGGCUGGGACAGCGAUGUCCCCGCUCGGGGGCGGCCUGGUGGAGCGGCCGCAGCCGCCCACCUAUUCCGAGGUGGGUGCGGCGACUCCCCUAUUCAGAGGGGGAGUCGGAGCAGGAGUAGUCGGGGGCUAUAAAGCGGUGAGAGAGCGGAGGAGUUACCAGGAGAGACAGCUCCCCCUCUUCGUCGGCUCGGGGGACAGCGGCGGGCGGCAGCGAGUGGCGCCACUGGCGGAGGGGGCACGAGGAGGCUAACCAAGUUGUGGAGGCGGCAGAAGGCGACGAUGGAGAUGCAGCUGCGCGCGCUCGGCCCUCCGUGGUGUCGUGGCCUAGCUCGGCAGAAGAAGGAGCCUAGGGGCGGCAGCCAGCGGCAGCUAAGUAAGCGGAGGUCGUUGGGGCCGGAGGGGCUCUACGAGAGGGAGAGGCGAUGGGGCUCUGGCGACAACUACGGGGACACUAGCUGAUGCAGCUGCUGCUGGGAAGAAGGCAAAGUCGCUUCGAAGGUCUACCACCUAGGGACCUUGGUCUACGGUGGCGGCUACCUACGACGAUGUACUUCUGGCGGCUGCUGGUACUCAUCAAUCCUCCAGGGUCCGUCCUCCAGAACGGAGAAGCUAGCAACAACGAAAACACGAUCGGAAGAAUUCCGUAGGAACAAAUUGAAUACAUAUAUGAGUCUAUAACAACGAAGGCGACUGAGAACACAUAGCUCGAUACAUAAACUCGGGAGCUCCGGGGACCGAACAUUAUAUUUCGAACAUAAUAAAACUAAACACAGAUCUCAACACAACACUAUAGAAGGGCACUCAGG
RNAcentral lists this ribosomal RNA (827 nucleotides) under Triticum aestivum (bread wheat). Its description in RNAcentral is "partial small subunit ribosomal RNA". The record is from RNAcentral. Lineage: Eukaryota; Viridiplantae; Streptophyta; Magnoliopsida; Poales; Poaceae.